Molecule: long non-coding RNA, 503 nt
Organism: Antechinus flavipes (yellow-footed antechinus)
Lineage: Eukaryota; Metazoa; Chordata; Mammalia; Dasyuromorphia; Dasyuridae
Exons: 3
Source: RefSeq, a predicted model, not a curated record
CAAAACACCCAGCCUUCCUGCCUCUGGCCUCAGUGCUUAGCUCUCCCUGGUCCGCGGAGCUUCUCCUGGCGAGUUGGGAGCUAUCCCCUACCCCCAGCUCCUACUUUCCUCAUCCCUCACUACACCAGAGGAUCCGGAGAGCUCCUCCUUGUAAUAAAGAGGAAAAAAAGAAAGAGAGGAAAGAGAGCAAUUCAGCAAAACUAAUCAACACCCAUUGUUCCCCACCACUGCAAAGAACGGAGGGAGGUGCGUUUUCUCACCUCUUCGAGGUUGAGGUCUCUCCCAUAUCUGUGUUCCAAGGUCACUCUCCAUGCUGCCCUUGUGUUUGAAGACUCCUUCAUUUAUCACUGUAUGGGCUGAGCUUCCCGCCCCCUCCAGCUCAGAAGUUCGGUAUUAUCAACUCCCCUGGAGCCCUCCUAUUCUCCAUCCUCAGAUCUCUUCGCCCUCCGACAUUGUUUAAGGCCCGAUGCUGUGUUCUUCUGAGACUGUGCCUUCUGUGGCAU